CUGAUGCUCAAGUUAGAAAAUUAGAGAAUAGAAGAAAGAGCAUGCUGUUGGGAGAGAAGUGAUUGUAUACCUAUAGGAUCCCUCUUGGCCGUCUAUUUAUAGGCGAGGGUGGAAGUGGACGUAGAGUCUGAAGAAUCAGAUUGUUAUCCUUGUCUUGUUGGAUGAGAUACAUUUAUUACACCAUGACUUAUUUGGAGAGAUAUGUCACUAUCUCUCUUCCUUAUCUGCCUAGAGCAAGCUGGC
RNAcentral lists this long non-coding RNA (243 nucleotides) under Elaeis guineensis (African oil palm). RNAcentral describes it as "long non-coding RNA (EGUI_LNC070539)". Lineage: Eukaryota; Viridiplantae; Streptophyta; Magnoliopsida; Arecales; Arecaceae. The record is from RNAcentral.